CCGAGAGUCUGGGGAUGGCUGCCCCAGCGCGUGCCUUUCUCUCCAUCAGGGCCGACGUCGUGAGCUUGGAUCCGUGCCCUCAGUGGUCAGUUCUCGGGCGUGGCCCAUCCAGGCUCCUGGGCAUCUAAGGCGUUUCUGCUGUGCAUGGCCCCCAGCAUGGACCUGCCAGCUCGUGGGACAAAGGGGAGUCUGCGUGGUGGGCAGCAGCUCUCAGCCGCUCGGGGUGGGGUGCGGGCUCACUGCUCCCACCCCCACAGCACCUGCAAGGGCGGGGGGCGCCCCAUGCCCCCCUGCGGGGUCUGCCCUGCGUGCGGCCUGCAGAGGUAUGUGGUCACUCAGUGGACCCCACCUAUUCUACUCCGUACCUCCAUGCUGACAGCACAGGGUAGCUGUUCACAAGUAUUUGUCGUGAAAGGCAAGAAGGGGGUGGGGAAGGAGGAGGGACAGGGAGGAGCCCCGGAGGCCAGCGGAUCCAGCAGGCACCGGCCAGCCCCCAAGAAUUCCACAGGCAAAGAGCAGAACAACCUGGGCGCUCUGACAGCUCCUGCUGAGAUGGACGAGCCCCUGGAGGCUCGGCAGGAGGCGGACACCUCAGGACCAGCGCAGCCUCGCGGGAAAGGAGAAUGUGGAGGACAGAGACGCGUCCCGAGACUGCCUGUCUCAGGCUGGGGGACGGGCCGGGAGCUGCCUGGGGAGGUCACUUGGAGGGCCAGAAGAUGCAGGGCAGGAGGCCGGCUGACCCUUGCCCCCACUUUCUUUGGGGGCACACGAGCUCUGAGCAGGGGGGACAGAAGAUCAGAGGGGCCGGGGAGCCAGGAGGCGCCACGGGGCAAAGGCUGGUGGGCGCAUGUCUGGCGUUUGAGGGUGCUGCUGUCGGCCGAGGCUGGCGGCUGAGAGGACAGAGCCGUCAUCCCAACACACACGCUGCUCGGUCGCUCAGUCAUCAGCAUCUGCUCGCCUCUCUCCACCUGCUGCCUCAGGCCCUCUGCAUGGCGGCUCGGCGCACAGAGAUCCUUAGACCCCCUUCAGAGACGGGUAGAUUGAGGCAUAGGGAGGUCACCCCAGAGAGCGAAGGGUGG
This 1079-nucleotide long non-coding RNA is filed under the name Bos indicus x Bos taurus (hybrid cattle). Its description in RNAcentral is "lncRNA (ENSBIXG00005010947.1)". The record is from RNAcentral. Lineage: Eukaryota; Metazoa; Chordata; Mammalia; Artiodactyla; Bovidae.